This 459-nucleotide ribosomal RNA is filed under the name uncultured bacterium. RNAcentral describes it as "partial 16S ribosomal RNA". It matches the Rfam family "Bacterial small subunit ribosomal RNA", at positions 338 to 795 of the family's 1533-position model. The record is from RNAcentral.
CCUACGGGAGACAGCAGUGAGGAAUAUUGGUCAAUGGGCGCGAGCCUGAACCAGCCAGGUCGCGUGAGGGAAGACGGUCCUAUGGAUUGUAAACCUCUUUUGUCGGGGCGCAACAGGCGCCACGCGUGGCGUUCCGAGCGUCUCCGAAGUACAAGCAUCGACUAACUCCGUGCCAGCAGCCGCGGUAAUACGGAGGAUGCGAGCGUUAUCCGGAUUGAUUGGGUGAAAAGGGUGCGCAGGCGGAAGAUCAAGGCAGCGGUAAAAUUGAGAGGCUCAACCUCUUCGAGCCGUUGAAACUGGUUUUCUUGAGUGAGUGAGAAGUAUGCGGAAUGCGUGGUGUAGCGGUGAAAUGCAUAGAUAUCACGCAGAACUCCGAUGGCGAAGGCAGCAUACCGGCGCUCAACUGACGCUCAUGCACGAAAGUGUGGGUAUCGAACAGGAUUAGAUACCCCUGUAGUC